UUAAAUCUAUUCGAAGAUUGGAUUGGACGGCUGAGAUUUUUCCAUGUG
Molecule: small RNA, 48 nt
Filed under: Arabidopsis thaliana (thale cress)
Lineage: Eukaryota; Viridiplantae; Streptophyta; Magnoliopsida; Brassicales; Brassicaceae
Description: ATSL230500
Source: RNAcentral